Molecule: ribosomal RNA, 328 nt
Filed under: uncultured eukaryote
Lineage: Eukaryota
Description: partial 18S ribosomal RNA
Rfam family: Eukaryotic small subunit ribosomal RNA
Source: RNAcentral
CCCUUAGAUGUUCUGGGCUGCACGCGCGCUACACUGAUGCGCUCAACGAGUUUAUGACCUUGCCCGGAAGGGUUGGGUAAUCUUCUUAAAACGCAUCGUGAUGGGGAUAGAUUAUUGCAAUUAUUAAUCUUCAACGAGGAAUUCCUAGUAAGCGCGAGUCAACAGCUUGCGUUGAUUACGUCCCUGCCCUUUGUGCACACCGCCCGUCGCUACUACUGAUUGGAUGUUUAAGCGAGGUUCUCGAACUGCUAGCGACUUAGCUUCGGUGAGGUCGCCGUGUGGGAAGUGAACCUAGCUUUGGUGUCUAGAGGAAGUAAAAGUCGUAUCA